RNAcentral lists this long non-coding RNA (948 nucleotides) under Serinus canaria (Common canary). RNAcentral describes it as "lncRNA (ENSSCAG00000002002.1)". The record is from RNAcentral. Lineage: Eukaryota; Metazoa; Chordata; Aves; Passeriformes; Fringillidae.
CCCAGACAUUUGCUGGGGAAAUUAAAAACCCCUAAGGCUCAGUUGAGGUGUAAACAUCAUAGGAAAAUCAGUUGAAAAUCCACUUGAAAGCUGGAUCUAAAGGCUCAACUCACCCUAUGGAAGGAAGAUGCUCAUUCCUUGAAGCUGGCUCUGAGAGAAAGCAGCGUUUCUGAUUGUGUGGAAUGUAACACUAGAGCCACAAGAUGCUGAGAAAAUCCAUUUAAAUGGUCAUGAUGUGGAUCAUGGCUUUAAAUGUGUUUAUUGUCACAGGACUGAGUAGAUCUUAAUGGAAAAUCAUUGAAAACCACACAUGUGGAUAAAAGAAACCUUCCAGUGCUUCAUCUGUGAAAGUGCCUUUAUAUCACUUUAUAAAGUACCUGGAAAGUGCACAGAAACAGCCAUCAGAGGAAAUCUCAUCUCAGUACAGAUCAUCUGAAACUGAGCAGAUAAGCAAUUUUCAUGUAGCUUGCUUGGCAUUAUCAGGAUAUGGUUAUGUGCCCACGCAGUGAUUUUACCAAUCCACAGGGUUUCUCUGGUUUUAAGCUACUGCAACAAACUCUGGCUUUUAAGACAGCUAAGGAAUGGAUCAAGGUCUGCAAGCAUCUGUACAAGCAUAGACCUUUCAGAGUUACUGGCUUCAGCUCCAUCACAACAUCCUUACAUGUGUUGGUGGUGUCUUGACUGAACCACGCAGGUGCACACUGGGUUGGAGAGUCAGGUAAGUGUUCAUUUAUGCUUCAAUACAGCAAAUGAAACAAGCAAUAAGAUUCUCAAAUAUUUUUUAAUCUGUACGUGGUCACAAAACAGGCAAUUUAUCUUCCCUUUUCUCUUAGUCACUAGAGACUUCAGAAUCCAGCAGUAUUUUUAAUCUAUUGCUUGCUGUGUCAUCACAUUAAAAGGAGUGGGCAAUUUAAUAAAUAAGGCUUGGUGACACUGGGUGAGGAAAAA